AGGGGUGUAGUACAAUGGUAGUACAGUGGUCUCCAAAACCAUUGACGUGGGUUCAAUUCCUACCACCCCUGCCA
This 74-nucleotide transfer RNA is filed under the name Clostridiales bacterium. Its description in RNAcentral is "tRNA-Trp". It matches the Rfam family "tRNA". Rfam says of the family: Transfer RNA (tRNA) molecules are approximately 80 nucleotides in length. Their secondary structure includes four short double-helical elements and three loops (D, anti-codon, and T loops). Lineage: Bacteria; Bacillati; Bacillota; Clostridia; Eubacteriales. The record is from RNAcentral. RNAcentral also lists the same sequence under 2 other names.